RNAcentral lists this long non-coding RNA (248 nucleotides) under Medicago truncatula (barrel medic). Its description in RNAcentral is "long non-coding RNA (MTRU_LNC004232)". Lineage: Eukaryota; Viridiplantae; Streptophyta; Magnoliopsida; Fabales; Fabaceae. The record is from RNAcentral.
UGCAAGAGAGAAGAGAGACCGGAAAAGGGAUGAAGGAAAAGAUAAUAAAAAUGUGAAAUGGGAUUGUAGAGAGAGAAAGAUGAUUAGAAGGUGAUUUGAGAGAGGAAGAAGAAGGAAGGAUGAAGGUUUGAGAGGGAGAGGGUUUGAUGGAAAAGUGUAGUUCAUAACAUGUUACCAAUACCCAUGCUUUCUUGUUCCAAUGUUGAAGACGGUGGAAUGCUUUGUUGGAAAUAUGCCGGUAAUUAAUG